This 519-nucleotide ribosomal RNA is filed under the name uncultured bacterium. Its description in RNAcentral is "partial 16S ribosomal RNA". It matches the Rfam family "Bacterial small subunit ribosomal RNA", at positions 28 to 506 of the family's 1533-position model. The record is from RNAcentral.
GACGAACGCUGGCGGCGUGCCUAAUACAUGCAAGUCGAACGCACUCUCGUUUAGAUUGAAGGAGUUUGCUCCUGAUUGAUAAACAUUUGAGUGAGUGGCGGACGGGUGAGUAACACGUGGGUAACCUGCCCUAAAGUGGGGGAUAACAUUUGGAAACAGAUGCUAAUACCGCAUAAAACCUAACACCGCAUGGUGUAGGGUUGAAAGAUGGUUUCGGCUAUCACUUUAGGAUGGACCCGCGGUGCAUUAGUUAGUUGGUGAGGUAAAGGCUCACCAAGACCGUGAUGCAUAGCCGACCUGAGAGGGUAAUCGGCCACACUGGGACUGAGACACGGCCCAGACUCCUACGGGAGGCAGCAGUAGGGAAUCUUCCACAAUGGACGAAAGUCUGAUGGAGCAACGCCGCGUGAGUGAAGAAGGUUUUCGGAUCGUAAAACUCUGUUGUUGGAGAAGAAUGUAUCUGAUAGUAACUGAUCAGGUAGUGACGGUAUCCAACCAGAAAGCCACGGCUAACUACGU